CCAACAGGGAUUGCCUCAGUAACGGCGAGUGAAGCGGCAACAGCUCAAAUUUGAAAUCUGGCUCCCCUUGGGGUCCGAGUUGUAAUUUGUAGAGGAUGCUUCGGGUGCGGCGCCGGUCUAAGUUCCUUGGAACAGGACGUCAUAGAGGGUGAGAAUCCCGUAUGUGACUGGAUGCCUAUCCCAUGUGAAGCUCCUUCGACGAGUCGAGUUGUUUGGGAAUGCAGCUCUAAAUGGGUGGUAAAUUUCAUCUAAAGCUAAAUACCGGCCAGAGACCGAUAGCGCACAAGUAGAGUGAUCGAAAGAUGAAAAGCACUUUGGAAAGAGAGUUAAAAAGCACGUGAAAUUGUUGAAAGGGAAGCGCUCGCAAUCAGACUUGCCUGCAGUUGAUCAACCGGUGUUCUCACCGGUGCACGCUUCUGCGGUCAGGCCAGCAUCAGUUCGGGCGGUCGGAUAAAGGCCCGGAGAAUGUAGCUCCUCUCGGGGAGUGUUAUAGCUUCGGGUGCAAUGCGGCCCGCCCGGACUGAGGACCGCGCUUCGGCUAGGAUGCUGGCGUAAUGGUUGCGAGCGACCCGUCUUGAAACACGGACCAAGGAGUCUAACAUCUAUGCGAGUGUUUGGGUGUCAAACCCAUGCGCGUAAUGAAAGUGAACGGAGGUGGGAACCCUUAAGGGUGCACCAUCGACCGAUCCUGAUGUCUUCGGAUGGAUUUGAGUAAGAGCAUAACUGUUGGGACCCGAAAGAAGGUGAACUAUACUUGAAUAGGGUGAAGCCAGAGGAAACUCUGGUGGAGGCUCGCAGCGGUUCUGACGUGCAAAUCGAUCGUCAAAUUUGGGUAUAGGGGCGAAAGACUAAUCGAACCUUCUAGUAGCUGGUUCCCGCCGAAGUUUCCCUCAGGAUAGCAGUAAUGAAUUCAGUUUUAUGAGGUAAAGCGAAUGAUUAGAGGCCUUGGGGUUGAAACAACCUUAACCUAUUCUCAAACUUUAAAUAUGUAAGAAGUCCUUGUUACUUAAUUGAACGUGGACAUUUGAAUGUACCAUUACUAGUGGGCCAUUUUUGGUAAGCAGAACUGGCGAUGCGGGAUGAACCGAACGUGAGGUUAAGGUGCCGGAAUUCACGCUCAUCAGACACCACUAAUCCAUUAAUUGUGGUGUCGAAGUCGGGCCUUCAAGCCUGACGAAGUCCCUAUAAUCUAGGGGCGAGGUCACCGUUCUGUGGGGAUGGCUGGGCCUCAAAACCCGACCCACCCGUGGCUGCCGAGGCAGUUCACAGAUUAAGUGGUGGCCGGCAGUCUCACUGCUUAAGAUAUAAUCGGCCUCUGGAGUCUUGUUCAGAGAUCAAGUGCAAAAGGUGUUAGUUCAUCUAGACAGCCGGACGGUGGCCAUGGAAGUCGGAAUCCGCUAAGGAGUGUGUAACAACCCACCGGCCGAAUGAACUAGCCCUGAAAAUGGAUGGCGCUCAAGCGUGAUACCCAUACCUCGCCGCCAGGGUAGAAACGAUGCCCUGGCGAGUAGGCAGGCGUGGAGG
Molecule: ribosomal RNA, 1524 nt
Filed under: Candelariella placodizans
Lineage: Eukaryota; Fungi; Ascomycota; Candelariomycetes; Candelariales; Candelariaceae
Description: eukaryotic LSU rRNA
Rfam family: Eukaryotic large subunit ribosomal RNA
Source: RNAcentral